AGGUCUGUCGCCAAGCGGUAAGGCAACGGGUUUUGAUCCCGUCAUACCUAGGUUCGAAUCCUAGCA
RNAcentral lists this transfer RNA (66 nucleotides) under Vibrio cholerae HC-38A1. RNAcentral describes it as "partial tRNA-Gln". It matches the Rfam family "tRNA". Rfam says of the family: Transfer RNA (tRNA) molecules are approximately 80 nucleotides in length. The record is from RNAcentral. Lineage: Bacteria; Pseudomonadati; Pseudomonadota; Gammaproteobacteria; Vibrionales; Vibrionaceae. RNAcentral also lists the same sequence under 2 other names.